AACGCACCUUGCGCUCCUUGGUAUUCCGAGGAGCAUGCCUGUUUGAGUGUCAUUAAAUUCUCAACCUUUUCAGCUUUUGCAAGUUGAAUUUGGCUUGGAUGUGGAGGUUGCGGGCUUCUCAGAAGUCGGCUCUUCUUAAAUGCAUUAGCGGAACCUUUGUGGACCAGCUUUGGUGUGAUAAUUAUCUACGCCACUGUUGUGAAACAGCUUUACAUGGGGUUCAGCUUCUAACUGUCCAUUGACUUGGACAAUUUUUGACAUUUUGACCUCAAAUCAGGUAGGACUACCCGCUGAACUUAA
RNAcentral lists this unclassified non-coding RNA (300 nucleotides) under Lepista sp. RNAcentral's name for it is "partial contains 5.8S ribosomal RNA, internal transcribed spacer 2, and large subunit ribosomal RNA". The stretch from base 1 to 52 matches the Rfam family "5.8S ribosomal RNA", at positions 103 to 154 of the family's 154-position model. Lineage: Eukaryota; Fungi; Basidiomycota; Agaricomycetes; Agaricales; Clitocybaceae. The record is from RNAcentral. RNAcentral also lists the same sequence under 1 other name.